AGGGCGUAUGGUGGAUGCCUAGGCUCUCAGAGGCGAAGAAGGACGUGAUAAGCUGCGAAAAGCUCCGUUUAGGUGCAAAUAACCUUUGAUGCGGAGAUUUCCGAAUGGGAUAACCCAAUAUGUUGAAGACAUAUUAUACCGUAAGGUAGGCAAACGCAGGGAACUGAAACAUCUAAGUACCUGCAGGAGAAGAAAACAAACGUGAUUCCCCCAGUAGCGGCGAGCGACCGGGGAUAAGCCCAAACCGUUAUUGUUUCGGCAGUAGCGGGGUAGUAGGACUGCGACAUUGAUGAAAUAAAUGAAAUGGAACACCUUGGAAAAUGUGAUCACAGAGGGUGAUAAUCCCGUACAUGCAAGUUUAUGAAUCAUAGCAGUAUCCUGAGUAAGUCGGGACACGUGUAAUCCUGACCGAAUCCGCCGGGACCAUCCGGCAAGGCUAAAUACUCCUGAGAGACCGAUAGUGAACCAGUACCGUGAGGGAAAGGUGAAAAGCACUUCGAACAGAAGAGUGAAAUAGUCCCUGAACCCAUACGCCUACAAGCUGUCGGAGCCGCUUCGUGCGGUGACGGCGUGCCUUUUGCAUAAUGAGCCUACGAGUUACUCAUCACCAGCGAGGUUAAGUACUUCAGGUACGUAAGCCGAAGCGAAAGCGAGUCUGAAUAGGGCGUCAAGUUGGUGGUGGUAGACGCGAAACCUUAGUGAUCUACCCAUGGGCAGGGUGAAGGUUUGGUAACACAAACUGGAGGCCCGAACCGGUAAACGUUGAAAAGUUUUCGGAUGACCUGUGGGUAGGGGUGAAAGGCCAAUCAAACUGGGAAAUAGCUCGUACUCUCCGAAAUGCAUUUAGGUGCAGCCUCUGUUGUUUUGUUCUAGAGGUAGAGCUACUGAUUGGAUGCGAGGGCUUCACCGCCUAUCAAAUCCGGCCAAACUCCGAAUGCUAGAACAUGAAGACAGGGAGUGAGCCAGCGGGUGCUAAGGUCCGUUGACGAAAGAGGGAGAACUCAGACCAUCAGCUAAGGUCCCCAAUUAUAUGCUAAGUUGGAAUUAAAACGGGGUGGGACUGCUUAGACAGCUAGGAUGUUGGCUUGGAAGCAGCCAUUCAUUUAAAGAGUGCGUAACAGCUCACUAGUCGAGCGGUCCUGCAUGGAUAAUACGCGGGCAUAAGCAUAUAACCGAAGCUAUGGGAUUGUAGAUGAUACAAUCGGUAGGAGAGCAUUCCAUUCAGCGUAGAAGCAGUAUCGUGAGGUAUUGUGGAGCGGAUGGAAAAGCAAAUGUAGGCAUAAGUAACGAUAAUGCGGGUGAGAACCCCGCACGCCGAAAGAUCAAGGAUUCCCCGGCAAUGUCAAUCAUCCGGGGGUAAGUCGGAUCCUAAGGGUAAGCCGAGUGGCGAUCCCGAUGGCAAACAGGUUAAUAUUCCUGUACUGAUCAUAACUGCGAUGCAGCGACGCAGAGGUGACACUGCUGCGUACUGACGGAAUAGUACGUUGAAACCCGUAUUCUUUGAUACCGGUAGUGAAGCACGCCGGUAGAGAUGAAAGGUGAUAGUACCGCAAUGCUUCGGUUGCGCGGAUAAUGCAGGUAAGCUGACUGCCAAGAAAACCUGCUAAGCUUCAGGUAAUGAUCAUCCGUACUGUAAACGGACACACGUGAUCAGGUAGAAAAUACUAAGGCGCUCGAGAGAUUCAUGGUUAAGGAACUAGGCAAAAUGGUCCUGUAACUUCGGGAUAAAGGACGCUCUUGUGAAAGAGCCGCAGAUAAUAGGCCCAGGCGACUGUUUACCAAAAACACAUGGCUAUGCUAAUUCGCAAGAAGAUGUAUAUGGCCUGACACCUGCCCGGUGCCGGAAGGUUAAGAGGAGAGCUCAGAGGCAACUCGAAGGUUUGAAUUGAAGCCCCGGUAAACGGCGGCCGUAACUAUAACGGUCCUAAGGUAGCGAAAUUCCUUGUCGGGUAAGUUCCGACCUGCACGAAUGGUGUAACGAUCUGGACACUGUCUCAACCGUGAGCUCGGUGAAAUUGUAGUCCCGGUGAUGAUGCCGGGUACCCGCAACGGGACGAAAAGACCCCGUGAACCUUUACUAUAGCUUAACGCUGAAUUUGGGUACACAAUGUGUAGGAUAGGCCGGAGGCUUUGAAGCGGGCACGCCAGUGUUCGUGGAGCCGACGUUGAAAUACGGCCCUUUGUGUAUUUGAGUUCUAACCCUGCGAAGGGGACACCGUUUGGUGGGUAGUUUGACUGGGGUGGUCGCCUCCAAAAGCGUAACGGAGGCUU
This 2271-nucleotide ribosomal RNA is filed under the name human gut metagenome. RNAcentral describes it as "bacterial LSU rRNA". It matches the Rfam family "Bacterial large subunit ribosomal RNA", at positions 14 to 2309 of the family's 2925-position model. The record is from RNAcentral.